GGGAUAGGGGCGGAGCAGGCUGGGGUUGGAGGGUACCGGGUAGGGGCGGGGCAGGCUCCGGGGCCCGAGGGACCUUGCGCACUGGGCCUUUGGGGCGGCACUGGCACAGCGUCCCGCCUGGGGCUGCCCACGGCCCCACAUCCCUAUGUCCUCCACCCCUGCACCCCAGGGACACCACGAACAGGCGGUGCGAGCUCCCGGGCUCCGCGCUCUGCAGCGCCCCUGUGCAUGGGGCGGCCUCAGGAAGCCUGGGCUCCCGCAGCAGCGCCGGCCUUGGGCUGAGGUCCCCGAGCCAGGGCUCCACUUCCCGCUCAGCGGACCGCAGGAGUAAACUGAGGCACAGAGAGAGCCGGGUUCGCCGGGGUGCAGGAGCCGCACAGGGAGGAUAAAGACUCAGUAGGACCUGGUGUGGGGGAUCCAGCCGAGCCACGGACCCCAGCGAGGCCAGGCGCUGGGCGCGGGCCGGGGCGCCCCUGCUGGCCGCGUGGCGGCCGUUCCCCCUCCCCCCCCCCCCCCGCCCAGGGCUCAGUCUACCCUGCAGCCUGUCUGGGCCACCCGCAUUCACCUCCGAAACCCAACACUUCAUACCCAUGGUCUCGGUGCCACAUCCAGGCACCACCCCAUGCUCCCCUCCCCCCACACCCAAGUGUGGCGCUUCCCAAACCCCUGCCUAGAAAGCCACUAGCCCUGCCCGAGGUUUGCUCUCAUGUAGGCCCCUGGCCUACACCCCAGGUUGCAGGGGGAGCUCUCUCCUGGGACCGCCCUCCGCCCUCUACCCUCCUGAUCCCUGUUUGGCCUCCUCGUAGACCCCCACCUGCCCCAUUCCCUACUUGAGCACUCCUAGAGGUAGGUCCAGCCUGGCCUUGGUGUCCGGGACUGCUGCCAGGACAGAGGACAGAGCAAUCAGAUGCAAGGACCUGCCCCAGGACAACCGAGACAGCACGGCUGCCAAGAACCUUUUGUCAGAGAUGCCUGGAGAGCGUUUCUCUCAUUCCAACCAGGUGUGGGAAGGAGGCUGCCUCAGGCUGUUCCUAGACAGCAGUGAAGUCGAGCCCUGUGCCUGGCUGACGGAAUCUACUUCCACGUCAGGGAUUGACCGAAACAGCUCCCCAGCUGGAAAGAGAGCUGGUUCUCGGUCCCCACCUCGGAAGGCCUUCAGCUCCAGGCUUGGUGUCCCGCCCUGGCCCCCGUCGGGCUCGUGUUCACAGGAAUUCAUCAUUUCCCAGCCUCUAGAUUACUCUGAGGCUGAUUAAAUUAGCGAAUGCAAUCACAAUCUGAAGCAAGUUAAUUGAGAGAAUUUAUUUGGGUCUGACAGUUUUAUGCAUGUUUGAUUAAGUAUUAUAAGGUUUGUUUUUGACUUUGCAUAAUUUAACUUUAAAUCCUGCAUGGGGGGGCCCAUCAACCAUUAAUGACCAAAAUAAACCUCUUGUAAGAUGCUUCUUUUUAUGAUUUAUUUCUGAAUGCAAUAUCUUCCAGAUUUUUUUGAUGCUAUUGCCAAAGUGACAAAUAUUUUUAAAGUAACAUUUUGAGUCAUCCCAUUCACCCUGUAAAUCUUCCAGAAUGUAUACAAUUCAUUAAAAGUUUUGAAAGAAGUACAAGUUAGCAUUUAUAUGGCAACAAGUGACAUAUAAAUGCGUAUGUUUGUCUUCCAAGCGCGCCAUAAAAUGUAUCCCCCCGUGAGCGCCUCAGAGCCGUACAAAUCGUCCACGCACUGGGGUAAUGAUAAACUUGGUCACAAAUCUUCACUGCUGUCAACACAAAACUGUUCAAUCAACAGGAAUAUGAGUUGUGUGUUUUGUGAAAUUAGCACAGGAGAAAAUACAGCCCAGGCCUGGGUCUAGGGACACUGUGGCCCUGGGAGGAGGGC
Macaca fascicularis (crab-eating macaque) is the source of this 1867-nucleotide long non-coding RNA. NCBI's taxonomy places the organism in Eukaryota, Metazoa, Chordata, Mammalia, Primates, Cercopithecidae. The record is from Ensembl.